Molecule: ribosomal RNA, 444 nt
Filed under: uncultured bacterium
Lineage: Bacteria
Description: bacterial SSU rRNA
Rfam family: Bacterial small subunit ribosomal RNA
Source: RNAcentral
GACGAACGCUGGCGGCGUGCUUAACACAUGCAAGUCGAACGGUGACGAAUGGAGCUUGCUCUGUUCUGAUCAGUGGCGAACGGGUGAGUAACACGUGAGUAACCUGCCCCCUGACUCUGGAAUAACUUCGGGAAACCGAAGCUAAUACCGGAUAUGACACAGAGCCGCAUGGUUUCUGUGUGGAAAAGUUUUUUCGGUUGGGGAUGGACUCGCGGCCUAUCAGCUUGUUGGUGAGGUAAUGGCUCACCAAGGCGACGACGGGUAGCCGGCCUGAGAGGGCGACCGGGCCACACUGGGACUGAGACACGGCCCAGACUCCUACGGGAGGCAGCAGUGGGGAAUAUUGCACAAUGGGCGAAAGCCUGAUGCAGCGACGCCGCGUGAGGGAUGAAGGCCUUCGGGUUGUAAACCUCGUUUCAGUAGGAAGAAGCGCAAGUGACGGUA